This is a long non-coding RNA of Ceratitis capitata (Mediterranean fruit fly), 1693 nucleotides long. RefSeq lists it as uncharacterized. Lineage: Eukaryota; Metazoa; Arthropoda; Insecta; Diptera; Tephritidae. The transcript is spliced from 5 exons. The record is from RefSeq and is a predicted model, not a curated record.
GGCUCCUCUUCCAAGAUGCUGACAAUGUAAUCCUUAUGUACCACCGUUUCUUCUCCUAAUAUACAUACAUAUACACAUGAAAAAUGUAUAACCUAUGGAUAACGAGGAAAACGAAGCUGGACGGACAAAAGGGGCAUAAAUGCAAUACAGAAAUGCGUAGAGAGUGGUGGCUAUUAAUCAUAAUAGAGGGAAGAUAAUAUAGCAAUCAUUUUUAUGAUACUCACUUAUCACAUAUAAAUAUUAUAUGGUAUUAAUUAUUAAUUAUAUAGGUAUGUAACACACAUAGACUUACAAAUUUAUUUUCUAAAAGACGGUACACAAUUUUUUUUUUGUAAAUAUUUUUUGUUUUCAACAGUUAAAACGAAAAUUAAGCAGGACGAACACUAAGAAGUACAGGACUAAGAAUAAGUGCAAUUCGACAGUUGGCGCAAUCGUUAUAACGGGGUUAUAAGAAAAAUCCAAGUUUAAAACAUACAUUUGAAGAAAUAACAGAUUUAAAGUGCAUCUCCACGGGUUUCGCAUCAUAUUAUCCGAGACAUGUGCAGUAAAAUUGAGCAUAAAAAACAUAUUUUAUAAUAAACUAAAAGGCUUCUUCAAGCAAGAAACGAAAGAAGAAAAUUUAUUUAAUAGUAAAGAGAUAACUGACUGAGAUGACCGACCAUAAUACAUAUGUUUGCUCUGUGCUUGGUACCGUUGCAAAUGGUACCCGGAUCUAACCCACCAAACAUACAACAAAACCUCCUUUGGCCGUUAAUGCUCGCUUGGAGACUGCUUGUGCCGGCUCACUGCGCUUCGACCACGAACGUUUUCGUUUGACGUUGCUGAAAGUGAUAUACUUCUCCUCAUCACCAGUCAUCAUUUGCUUCCGAUAUAGUUACGAACCAGCAGCGAUACAUAAAUGCCAAAACUAGAAGAAUUGAGCUUCAAAUUCUAUGCACAUUAAUCAUGGGAACAUCCAACAAAAAAGCGCUGACCGCUAAAAAAAUUCGUUCGUUAGAAUUAAAAGAGGUUAUUCUUGAAACUGUAGCCUAUUUGGAGGCGUAAGCGAAAUUAUUCUACAAAAGUGGUUUUGAUGUAUUAACUUCGUUUCAGUGAACAAUUUACUACCCACAUCAUCAUGAAAGUGCCAGUAAAGGAUUAUCCUACCUAUCAAAGGCUGAAGUGGUUUCAAGUUUGAGAAAAAGUAAAUCAAAAGUGAAAGCAAUUAUAUUGAUAACAGCCCCGAAAUAUAUUUUCAAUACUUUAAAGGAUAUCUAUCCCAAACCCCAUAAUAUGACGGUAUGCAUUUUUUCGCCGAAAAGAAGUACUGAGAUAAGAGUGUGAAGAGAUUUAGCAAUAAUAUUUAUCUAUAUGUAACACCUCAGAUUCAGGUUCAUUCUAUCAACUAAAGUUAAAAAAAAAAAUAUUUUUAAUAUUUUUUGAAUAUUUUUAGAAUUUAUGUACGACUACCCCAGACUCCCUGUCAGCAUAGUCUUAUCUAAACAAAAUCACAUUGUACUCGUACAUACUUAAAUAUUAUUUGCUAAAUUUGUUUAUAUUUAUAUAUUUUAUGAAAACAUGUUUCACAGCUAGAUGUCUCAUAUUUUUAACGGUAAUUAAAUUAAUAAUUCCUAAAAUUGUUUAACAAUGAGAGAUAGAUAUAAAAUGCUUGCUUGUGUAUGUGUGUGUGUGUGGGUGUGUGUGCUUGUGGCAU